Molecule: long non-coding RNA, 209 nt
Filed under: Gossypium raimondii (Peruvian cotton)
Lineage: Eukaryota; Viridiplantae; Streptophyta; Magnoliopsida; Malvales; Malvaceae
Description: long non-coding RNA (GRAI_LNC007532)
Source: RNAcentral
ACAAGUCCCUCAUUGUCUCCUUCUUCAAUAUUGAGCACAGAACCCUUUCCUUUAUCAGUUCCUUUAUUAAACCACUGAGUUAACUGAGCCAUCACACUCCCUUGAGACUCCAUCAUUUUGUCUAUCAUCUUUUGCUGCUCAUUCAUUUGCUUUUGAAGCAGCUCCUGCAUUUCCUUUUGGGUUUGUUCUAAUCUUUCCAUUAUUUGAUC